This is a long non-coding RNA of Mesocricetus auratus (golden hamster), 541 nucleotides long. RefSeq lists it as uncharacterized. NCBI's taxonomy places the organism in Eukaryota, Metazoa, Chordata, Mammalia, Rodentia, Cricetidae. The transcript is spliced from 3 exons. The record is from RefSeq and is a predicted model, not a curated record.
GGACACAUAGCUGACAGAGGAUUCAAACGACAAGAUAGAAGAUAAAACAUUCUGGCUCUGGUUGCUUCCUCUCUGCUUCUUGCAGCUGUCCUAACCUGGAGGAGUAACUAAAUAUGAAUGAGGACUCAGAAGCAAACCUGAAAAGUCUACGGGGAACAGGGACAUGGAAGGAGCAGAACCAGGCUAGGAGUGGGGACAUUUGACCAGGCUUGUCCUGAACUUGUCCCUGAACUCCCCUUCAUAAUGAAAGAAGUCCCUCUUUCCUGUCUGCUGACACUAACUUUCCCUUGCUUAAAACCCUGUAUAACCACAUAUUAACAUUGGCCUCCCAGGGUUGUCCCCAUCCCUCAUAAGCCCCAGUCCCUGCCUCAUUCAGAGCCACAGGAGUAGAGUGGAUAGGAAGUGUCUCAUAUUCCAAGAGAAUCACAAUAUUUUAAAAUUUACAUUGGAAUAAACUGAAUAUUACAUAUGGAGUGGAUUCUAAAGGUAUUGGAUUGGAUUGAGCCCUGACUGUCACUUCCUGGAUUCUUUAGACUCACCA